AUUGGACAAUGGGGGGAACCCUGAUCCAGCGACGCCGCGUGAGUGAAGAAGUAUUUCGGUAUGUAAAGCUCUAUCAGCAGGGAAGAAAGAAAUGACGGUACCUGACCAAGAAGCCCCGGCUAACUAUGUGGCAGCAGCCGCGGUAAUACAUAGGGGGCAAGCGUUAUCCGGAAUUAUUGGGUGUAAAGGGUGCGUAGACGGAAGAACAAGUUGGUUGUGAAAUCCCUCGGCUCAACUGAGGAACUGCAACCAAAACUAUUCUCCUUGAGUGUCGGAGAGGAAAGUGGAAUUCCUAGUGUAGCGGUGAAAUGCGUAGAUAUUAGGAGGAACACCAGUGGCGAAGGCGACUUUCUGGACGAUAACUGACGUUGAGGCACGAAAGUGUGGGGAGCAAACAGG
This 399-nucleotide ribosomal RNA is filed under the name uncultured bacterium. RNAcentral's name for it is "bacterial SSU rRNA". It matches the Rfam family "Bacterial small subunit ribosomal RNA", at positions 363 to 776 of the family's 1533-position model. The record is from RNAcentral.